ACGGGUGAGUAACACGUGAGCAACCUGCCCCAAGCUUUGGGAUAACCCUCGGAAACGGGGGCUAAUACCGAAUAUUACUUCUGGCCGCAUGGCUGGUGGUGGAAAGUUUUUCGGCUUGGGAUGGGCUCGCGGCCUAUCAGCUUGUUGGUGGGGUGAUGGCCUACCAAGGCGACGACGGGUAGCCGGCCUGAGAGGGCGACCGGCCACACUGGGACUGAGACACGGCCCAGACUCCUACGGGAGGCAGCAGUGGGGAAUAUUGCACAAUGGGCGGAAGCCUGAUGCAGCGACGCCGCGUGAGGGAUGACGGCCUUCGGGUUGUAAACCUCUUUCAGCAGGGACGAAGCGAGAGUGACGGUACCUGCAGAAGAAGCACCGGCCAACUACGUGCCAGCAGCCGCGGUAAGACGUAGGGUGCGAGCGUUGUCCGGAUUUAUUGGGCGUAAAGAGCUCGUAGGCGGCUUGUCGCGUCGACCGUGAAAACUUGGGGCUCAACCCCAAGCCUGCGGUCGAUACGGGCAGGCUAGAGUUCGGUAGGGGAGACUGGAAUUCCUGGUGUAGCGGUGAAAUGCGCAGAUAUCAGGAGGAACACCGGUGGCGAAGGCGGGUCUCUGGGCCGAUACUGACGCUGAGGAGCGAAAGCGUGGGGAGCGA
RNAcentral lists this ribosomal RNA (654 nucleotides) under uncultured Micromonospora sp. Its description in RNAcentral is "bacterial SSU rRNA". It matches the Rfam family "Bacterial small subunit ribosomal RNA", at positions 102 to 771 of the family's 1533-position model. Lineage: Bacteria; Bacillati; Actinomycetota; Actinomycetes; Micromonosporales; Micromonosporaceae. The record is from RNAcentral.